GCUACAGGCUUAACACAUGCAAGUCGAGGGGUAGCACGGAGGAAGCUUGCUUCCUUAGGUGACGACCGGCGCACGGGUGAGUAACGCGUAUCCUACCUACCCAUUACUCGGGCACAGCCGCUCGAAAGAGUGAUUGAUUCCCGAUAUGUCAACAGAGUAGAUUUGUUGAUGAAAGAUUUAUCGGUAACGGAUGGGGAUGCGUGACAUUAGGUAGAUGGCGGGGUAACGGCCCACCAUGCCUACGAUGUCUAGGGGUUCUGAGAGGAAGGUCCCCCACACUGGAACUGAGACACGGUCCAGACUCCUACGGGAGGCAGCAGUGAGGAAUAUUGGUCAAUGGCCGGAAGGCUGAACCAGCCAAGUAGCGUGAAGGAUGAAGGUUCUAUGGAUUGUAAACUUCUUUUAUACGGGAAUAAAACCUCCCACGUGUGGGAGCUUGUAUGUACCGUAUGAAUAAGCAUCGGCUAACUCCGUGCCAGCAGCCGCGGUAAUACGGAGGAUGCGAGCGUUAUCCGGAUUUAUUGGGUUUAAAGGGAGCGUAGACGGGAGAUUAAGUCAGUUGUGAAAGGCUGCGGCUCAACCGCAGCACUGCAGUUGAUACUGGUUUCCUUGAGUGCGGUUGAGGUGUAUGGAAUUCGUGGUGUAGCGGUGAAAUGCUUAGAUAUCACG
RNAcentral lists this ribosomal RNA (669 nucleotides) under uncultured Bacteroidota bacterium. Its description in RNAcentral is "bacterial SSU rRNA". It matches the Rfam family "Bacterial small subunit ribosomal RNA", at positions 39 to 701 of the family's 1533-position model. Lineage: Bacteria; Pseudomonadati; Bacteroidota. The record is from RNAcentral.